RNAcentral lists this long non-coding RNA (762 nucleotides) under Sus scrofa (pig). RNAcentral's name for it is "lncRNA (ENSSSCG00050028982.1)". Lineage: Eukaryota; Metazoa; Chordata; Mammalia; Artiodactyla; Suidae. The record is from RNAcentral.
AUGAGUUUCAAUGGGGCGCCAACACCUGCCAGGUUCUGUGAGAUGCUGAGGCUACGAAGAUCAAGGUAUUUGGCUGCUGUUGGACUCAAGGUUCCCAAAUGCAGUGACUGGUUGUGUUUGUUGGACAUGGGAAUUCACCCCUACAUGAGACUCAGAGGGAUACAGUUUAUGAGAAAUUCCUCUGAUAAAAGUCAAGGCUCCUUCAAGCUGAUUAGUAUAUGUCCUAAAUUCUCCAGCCAUCCCCCAAACCAAGGCGGCUCAGUGCAGGAGAUAGGUCUCAGGUGAGCGGGAGAGCCUUCCGCAGGGGGGCUCGGAAGACCACGACUGGAAGAGGAAGCUGCCUCCCACGGAAGCCACCGCCUUGUGCAGGGAGCCGUGGGCCUGUCGAGGACACCCCAGGACCGCUAACCCUACUUCUUGGUUGACUUUGCACCUGAGCGCUGCCCACACCCACCAACUCUGAGCUCCUGGGAGAGGCCGGGAGACGCUGCCGGGGGCCGUGAGUCACGAGUGUAAAGUACGCCCAGGGCCUGGCAGGCAGGUCUGUGCCAGGGUAAGGUGUCAUCAGGUGAAGCCACAAAGGCUGUUUUCCUGGAGCCCCUGAGAUAAAAGAUCCAUCGCCUUUUCUCUCUCCCGCCUCUCGGGGCUUGGGGGCUGCAGGUCCCCGGACAGCGGGGUGGGGGCGUGAACGCGAGUGCGCGCGUGUGCAUGUGUGUGUGUGCGCGCGCCCGCGCGCGGCCUUCCGGCAGCUGUCCCGGCCCC